RNAcentral lists this ribosomal RNA (433 nucleotides) under uncultured bacterium. Its description in RNAcentral is "partial 16S ribosomal RNA". It matches the Rfam family "Bacterial small subunit ribosomal RNA", at positions 29 to 507 of the family's 1533-position model. The record is from RNAcentral.
AGCGAACGCUGGCGGCAGGCUUAACACAUGCAAGUCGAGCGGGCCCUUCGGGGUCAGCGGCGGACGGGUGAGUAACGCGUGGGAAUGUGCCUUCUGGUCUGGAAUAACCCUGGGAAACUAGGGCUAAUACCGGAUACGCCCUUUUGGGGAAAGGUUUACUGCCGGAAGAUCGGCCCGCGUCUGAUUAGCUAGUUGGUGGGGUAACGGCCUCCCAAGGCGACGAUCAGUAGCUGGUCUGAGAGGAUGAUCAGCCACACUGGGACUGAGACACGGCCCAGACUCCUACGGGAGGCAGCAGUGGGGAAUAUUGGACAAUGGGCGCAAGCCUGAUCCAGCCAUGCCGCGUGAGUGAUGAAGGCCUUAGGGUUGUAAAGCUCUUUUAUCCGGGACGAUAAUGACGGUACCGGAAGAAUAAGCCCCGGCUAACUUCGUG